RNAcentral lists this unclassified non-coding RNA (348 nucleotides) under soil metagenome. Its description in RNAcentral is "partial contains 5.8S ribosomal RNA, internal transcribed spacer 2, and large subunit ribosomal RNA". The stretch from base 1 to 120 matches the Rfam family "5.8S ribosomal RNA", at positions 35 to 154 of the family's 154-position model. The record is from RNAcentral.
GAUGAAGAACGUAGCGAAAUGCGAUAAGUAGUGUGAAUUGCAGAAUUCAGUGAAUCAUCGAAUCUUUGAACGCACAUUGCGCCCGCCAGUAUUCUGGCGGGCAUGCCUGUCCGAGCGUCAUUUCAACCCUCGAACCCCUCCGGGGGGUCGGCGUUGGGGAUCGGCACUUACCUGCCGGCCCCGAAAUACAGUGGCGGUCUCGCCGCAGCCUCUCCUGCGCAGUAGUUUGCACACUCGCACCGGGAGCGCGGCGCGUCCACGGCCGUAAAACAACCCAAACUUCUGAAAUGUUGACCUCGGAUCAGGUAGGAAUACCCGCUGAACUUAAGCAUAUCAAUAAGCGGAGGA